Molecule: transfer RNA, 75 nt
Filed under: uncultured Actinomycetes bacterium
Lineage: Bacteria; Bacillati; Actinomycetota; Actinomycetes
Also listed under: 1 other name
Description: tRNA-Gly
Source: RNAcentral
GAGGGCGUGUUGUAAUUGGCAGCCUGGUUGUUUACCAAGCAGUCGGAGCGGGUUCGAACCUCGUCGUCUCCACCA